RNAcentral lists this ribosomal RNA (253 nucleotides) under uncultured bacterium. RNAcentral's name for it is "partial 16S ribosomal RNA". It matches the Rfam family "Bacterial small subunit ribosomal RNA", at positions 524 to 776 of the family's 1533-position model. The record is from RNAcentral.
UACGGGGGGGGCAAGCGUUGUUCGGAAUUACUGGGCGUAAAGGGCUCGUAGGUGGCCAACUAAGUCAGACGUGAAAUCCCUCGGCUCAACCGGGGAACUGCGUCUGAUACUGGGUGGCUUGAAUCCGGGAGAGGGAUGCGGAAUUCCAGGUGUAGCGGUGAAAUGCGUAGAUAUCUGGAGGAACACCGGUGGCGAAGGCGGCAUCCUGGACCGGCAUUGACGCUGAGGCGCGAAAGCCAGGGGAGCAAACGGG